AGCGCAUACGGUGGAUGCCUUGGCAGUCAGAGGCGAUGAAAGACGUGGUAGCCUGCGAAAAGCUUCGGGGAGUCGGCAAACAGACUUUGAUCCGGAGAUCUCUGAAUGGGGGAACCCACCUAGGAUAACCUAGGUAUCUUGUACUGAAUCCAUAGGUGCAAGAGGCGAACCAGGGGAACUGAAACAUCUAAGUACCCUGAGGAAAAGAAAUCAACCGAGAUUCCCUUAGUAGUGGCGAGCGAACGGGGAUUAGCCCUUAAGCUUCAUUGAUUUUAGCGGAACGCUCUGGAAAGUGCGGCCAUAGUGGGUGAUAGCCCCGUACGCGAAAGGAUCUUUGAAGUGAAAUCGAGUAGGACGGAGCACGAGAAACUUUGUCUGAACAUGGGGGGACCAUCCUCCAAGGCUAAAUACUACUGACUGACCGAUAGUGAACCAGUACCGUGAGGGAAAGGCGAAAAGAACCCCGGAGAGGGGAGUGAAAUAGAACCUGAAACCGUAUGCGUACAAGCAGUGGGAGCCUACUUGUUAGGUGACUGCGUACCUUUUGUAUAAUGGGUCAGCGACUUAUAUUCAGUGGCAAGCUUAACCGUAUAGGGUAGGCGUAGCGAAAGCGAGUCUUAAUAGGGCGUUUAGUCGCUGGGUAUAGACCCGAAACCGGGCGAUCUAUCCAUGAGCAGGUUGAAGGUUAGGUAACACUGACUGGAGGACCGAACCCACUCCCGUUGAAAAGGUAGGGGAUGACUUGUGGAUCGGAGUGAAAGGCUAAUCAAGCUCGGAGAUAGCUGGUUCUCCUCGAAAGCUAUUUAGGUAGCGCCUCAUGUAUCACUCUGGGGGGUAGAGCACUGUUUCGGCUAGGGGGUCAUCCCGACUUACCAAACCGAUGCAAACUCCGAAUACCCAGAAGUGCCGAGCAUGGGAGACACACGGCGGGUGCUAACGUCCGUCGUGAAAAGGGAAACAACCCAGACCGCCAGCUAAGGUCCCAAAGUUGUGGUUAAGUGGUAAACGAUGUGGGAAGGCUUAGACAGCUAGGAGGUUGGCUUAGAAGCAGCCACCCUUUAAAGAAAGCGUAAUAGCUCACUAGUCGAGUCGGCCUGCGCGGAAGAUGUAACGGGGCUCAAACCACACACCGAAGCUGCGGGUGUCACGCAAGUGACGCGGUAGAGGAGCGUUCUGUAAGCCUGUGAAGGUGAGUUGAGAAGCUUGCUGGAGGUAUCAGAAGUGCGAAUGCUGACAUGAGUAACGACAAUGGGUGUGAAAAACACCCACGCCGAAAGACCAAGGGUUCCUGCGCAACGUUAAUCGACGCAGGGUUAGUCGGUUCCUAAGGCGAGGCUGAAAAGCGUAGUCGAUGGGAAACAGGUUAAUAUUCCUGUACUUCUGGUUACUGCGAUGGAGGGACGGAGAAGGCUAGGCCAGCUUGGCGUUGGUUGUCCAAGUUUAAGGUGGUAGGCUGAAAUCUUAGGUAAAUCCGGGGUUUCAAGGCCGAGAGCUGAUGACGAGUCGUCUUUUAGAUGACGAAGUGGUUGAUGCCAUGCUUCCAAGAAAAGCUUCUAAGCUUCAGGUAACCAGGAACCGUACCCCAAACCGACACAGGUGGUCGGGUAGAGAAUACCAAGGCGCUUGAGAGAACUCGGGUGAAGGAACUAGGCAAAAUGGCACCGUAACUUCGGGAGAAGGUGCGCCGGCUAGGGUGAAGGAUUUACUCCGUAAGCUCUGGCUGGUCGAAGAUACCAGGCCGCUGCGACUGUUUAUUAAAAACACAGCACUCUGCAAACACGAAAGUGGACGUAUAGGGUGUGACGCCUGCCCGGUGCCGGAAGGUUAAUUGAUGGGGUUAGCGCAAGCGAAGCUCUUGAUCGAAGCCCCGGUAAACGGCGGCCGUAACUAUAACGGUCCUAAGGUAGCGAAAUUCCUUGUCGGGUAAGUUCCGACCUGCACGAAUGGCGUAACGAUGGCGGCGCUGUCUCCACCCGAGACUCAGUGAAAUUGAAAUCGCUGUGAAGAUGCAGUGUAUCCGCGGCUAGACGGAAAGACCCCGUGAACCUUUACUGUAGCUUUGCACUGGACUUUGAGCCUGCUUGUGUAGGAUAGGUGGGAGGCUUUGAAGCGUGGACGCCAGUUCGCGUGGAGCCAUCCUUGAAAUACCACCCUGGCAUGCUUGAGGUUCUAACUCUGGUCCGUGAUCCGGAUCGAGGACAGUGUAUGGUGGGCAGUUUGACUGGGGCGGUCUCCUCCUAAAGAGUAACGGAGGAGUACGAAGGUGCGCUCAGACCGGUCGGAAAU
Molecule: ribosomal RNA, 2286 nt
Filed under: Pseudomonas aeruginosa N002
Lineage: Bacteria; Pseudomonadati; Pseudomonadota; Gammaproteobacteria; Pseudomonadales; Pseudomonadaceae
Description: bacterial LSU rRNA
Rfam family: Bacterial large subunit ribosomal RNA
Source: RNAcentral